RNAcentral lists this ribosomal RNA (253 nucleotides) under uncultured bacterium. RNAcentral's name for it is "partial 16S ribosomal RNA". It matches the Rfam family "Bacterial small subunit ribosomal RNA", at positions 524 to 776 of the family's 1533-position model. The record is from RNAcentral.
UACAGAGGGUGCGAGCGUUGUUCGGAAUUAUUGGGCGUAAAGGGCGCGUAGGCGGCUUGUCAAGUCAAAGGUGAAAUCCCUCGGCUCAACUGAGGAACUGCCUUUGAAACUGUCUGGCUUGAGGCCGGGAGGGGGUAGCGGAAUUCCCAGUGUAGCGGUGAAAUGCGUAGAUACUGGGAGGAACACCAGUGGCGAAGGCGGCUACCUGGACCGGUUCUGACGCUGAGGCGCGAAAGCGUGGGUAGCAAACAGG